AUUUUCCUAUGUAAGUUCCAUAGGGCUACAGGAGCAUCCUACCCCAAACCCUUUAUUUUCCCAGCUCACCACCCCCCUCCCACUUUUCUUGUGUGGAUCCCUGACUGUGCAGAGAGUCCUGCAAGGUCUGGGAUGAGAUGGGGGAAGGUGAAUGUAGGAAACAGUGCUUCUGAAGGGCUAUAGUGCCCCUUCCACGCAGAGGAAGAGAGUUCUGCAUGUGGAGGACCCCUCUGUGUGCAGAUGCUGGGGAAACAAUCUGGGCCUCUGUUUAUGAAACUGAAAUUCUGCUAUACAGAGCAGGAAUUGCUAUGAUACUCCCUGUAGACUAUUUUCAAUCAUGAACAGCUCAAAUAAACAUUCAAAUGAAUGUUCACAGAUACUUUUUUGCAGUAUUCACCUAGUUCAAGGGAGGACUCAGGUUCUAAUUAGCUCAUCCUUUAUGUAAAAAUACAGCCAGAAUUUUUCCAUUUAAUUUGUGAAAACUGUCAAGGCAAAGGAAAUAUGCCUUUGAAAAUCAGAUGAAAAUGAAGCUUGCUGGUGCAGCAUAAUUGCCAGCAAGGGCUCUCACGAAUUAAGUGACCAUCAAGAAAAUUUGAAGCAUAAAGCAAACUUACUGGAUUGUUGCUAUAUUUGCUUUUUCCCCUUAUGUACAAAGCAUGUCCAAUGGAUCAUUCCCAUAUGAAUACAAACAUCUGCAUGAUGACUAAUGUAGUCAUGGGCCAACUUAGCGCCUCUUCACUAUUUUUACAUUUGCGUGAUCACUCAAACACCAGGAAGACCACAAUGGAGGCGCGCAUCUUAGCUUUAUCCUAUGAUCAAAUCAAUGUCUUACAGACAGCACAGUAAUUCUCAGAGCUUCUGAAGGGCAAAAAAUCUGGAGAAGGAAAACGGGUCCCCAGAUUAUCUACCUAAUUGAGCAAGCCAGUGGAAAAAAUAUUAGCAGAGAAGAGAGUGGUAAAUCUUUGAGCCUGCUCUUUGAAGUAAUUGUCUUAUUUCUCUGUAUAGCAUAAUGAUUGUGUUUUUAAGGAUAUGAUUUCUAUUGUGCAAUAUUUAUUCAUAUUAUAAUGGAUCAUUUCUUUUGAUUUCAGGGUCAUAAAGGGAAAGCCAUCUACAGUGAAAAAGUAUUGCAGGAAAAAGUAACCAAACAGUUUGUCCAAUACAGAAAAAAAUGGAAGCCCACGUAAACAGGAAAUGAAUUAAUUAAAAGUGGUUUUUUUUAAAAGAAAUAAUUGUUGAAUACUUUUUUUUAACAAAACUAAUU
RNAcentral lists this long non-coding RNA (1261 nucleotides) under Chrysemys picta bellii (western painted turtle). Its description in RNAcentral is "lncRNA (ENSCPBG00000022355.1)". Lineage: Eukaryota; Metazoa; Chordata; Testudines; Emydidae. The record is from RNAcentral.